AAGGGUUUAAGUUAAUUAAACUAAUARCCUUCAAAGUUAUAAAUAGAGRCAUAUCUCUAACCUUUA
This 66-nucleotide transfer RNA is filed under the name Triplax ainonia. Its description in RNAcentral is "tRNA-Trp". Lineage: Eukaryota; Metazoa; Arthropoda; Insecta; Coleoptera; Erotylidae. The record is from RNAcentral.